Molecule: ribosomal RNA, 458 nt
Filed under: uncultured bacterium
Lineage: Bacteria
Description: bacterial SSU rRNA
Rfam family: Bacterial small subunit ribosomal RNA
Source: RNAcentral
GGGAAGAUAAUGACGGUACCGUGGGAAUAAGCCCCGGAUAAUUACGUGCCAGCAGCCGCGGUAACACGUAGGGGGCGAGCGUUGUCCGGAUUUACUGGGCGUAAAGAGCGCGUAAGCGGCCAGCCGAGUCGUGCGUGAAAGGCCCCGGCUCAACCGGGAAGGGUCGUGCGAUACUGGUUGGCUUGAGGCCGGAAGGGGGGAGUGGAAUUCCCGGUGUAGUGGUGGAAUGCGUAGAUAUCGGGAGGAACACCAGUGGCGAAGGCGGCUCCCUGGUCCGGUCCUGACGCUGAGGCGCGAAAGCGUGGGGAGCGAACUGAAUUAGAUACUCAGGUAGUCCACGCUGUGAACGAUGGGUGCUAGGUGUCGGGGGUAUCGANNNNNNNGGUGCCGCAGCUAACGCAUUAAGCACCCCGCCUGGGGAGUACGGCCGCAAGGCUAAAACUCAAAUGAAUUGACGG